This 495-nucleotide ribosomal RNA is filed under the name uncultured bacterium. RNAcentral's name for it is "partial 16S ribosomal RNA". It matches the Rfam family "Bacterial small subunit ribosomal RNA", at positions 28 to 507 of the family's 1533-position model. The record is from RNAcentral.
GACGAACGCUGGCGGCGUGCCUAAUACAUGCAAGUAGAACGCUGAAGGAGGAGCUUGCUUCUCCGGAUGAGUUGCGAACGGGUGAGUAACGCGUAGGUAACCUGCCUGGUAGCGGGGGAUAACUAUUGGAAACGAUAGCUAAUACCGCAUAACAGUAGAUGUUGCAUGACAUUUGCUUAAAAGGUGCAAUUGCAUCACUACCAGAUGGACCUGCGUUGUAUUAGCUAGUUGGUGAGGUAACGGCCCACCAAGGCGACGAUACAUAGCCGACCUGAGAGGGGGAUCGGCCACACUGGGACUGAGACACGGCCCAGACUCCUACGGGAGGCAGCAGUAGGGAAUCUUCGGCAAUGGACGGAAGUCUGACCGAGCAACGCCGCGUGAGUGAAGAAGGUUUUCGGAUCGUAAAGCUCUGUUGUAAGAGAAGAACGAGUGUGAGAGUGGAAAGUUCACACUGUGACGGUAUCUUACCAGAAAGGGACGGCUAACUACGUG